Molecule: microRNA, 19 nt
Filed under: Homo sapiens (human)
Lineage: Eukaryota; Metazoa; Chordata; Mammalia; Primates; Hominidae
Description: hsa-miR-6817-3p
Source: miRBase by way of RNAcentral
UCUCUCUGACUCCAUGGCA